Molecule: long non-coding RNA, 731 nt
Organism: Folsomia candida
Lineage: Eukaryota; Metazoa; Arthropoda; Collembola; Entomobryomorpha; Isotomidae
Exons: 3
Source: RefSeq, a predicted model, not a curated record
CACCCUAGCGUGCGGAUGGGAGACCAGUGAAAUAAAAGCUCCACCAGGAGAAAAAGUUUUCUCUCCGAGCAGCUGCUGCUACAAGGAGCUUGCUCAUUAACUAAUGUAAGCCAUGCACGUUAUUCACUACUACUAAUAUCAACUUAAAUGCAACGUGCAAUUUGCAAAGAAAUAUUCACAUUUGAGAGGAGAUUAUUUUAAAAAAUAAAUACUUGCAAAAGUGUGUGUGUGUGUGUGUGUGUUUGUGUGAUGAAAGGGUCAUACAGGAUGGAGAUUGAUAUCAAUAAAUUGUAACAACAGCACCAAAGAUAGGAUGAUAAAUGAAGGUUUUAUUUCUGGUAAGUGUGUAGGUUACAUGAAAUAUAUGUACAUAUGAAAAUACGCAUGUUUCAUUGCAAAAUAUUUGCAAAAUUAAGCUUGGUAUGCUUAGUUCAUUAAUUAUUUUAGAUUUUAGUUAUGAUUUUCAUUAUUAUUUUUUCUUUCUUUUCAAGUUACAUAUUCCGUCUUACUGCAACAUUGUCUUACAGCGGAAAGUGAAAGUAACUCGACCAAGAGAGAAAAGUUUCUUCCACUAGUAGCUCCAACAAGGAGCUCGCCCACCAACUAAUGCAAGCAUGUUCUUCAGGGUCGUGCAGGAAGGAUGGUGAAAUUUUAACAUUAGCUGCGAAGAUAUUUAAGUUUAAAGGAGCCAUAUCCUUUGGCUCCACGCCGAGAAGCAACAGGUGCUGUGG